Molecule: unclassified non-coding RNA, 346 nt
Filed under: soil metagenome
Description: partial contains 5.8S ribosomal RNA, internal transcribed spacer 2, and large subunit ribosomal RNA
Rfam family: 5.8S ribosomal RNA (bases 1-120)
Source: RNAcentral
GAUGAAGAACGUAGUGAAAUGCGAUACGUAAUGUGAAUUGCAGAAUUCAGUGAAUCAUCGAGUCUUUGAACGCACAUUGCGCCCCCUGGUAUUCCGGGGGGCAUGCCUGUCCGAGCGUCAUUGCUGCCCUCAAGCCCGGCUUGUGUGUUGGGUCUCGUCCCCCUUCCCGGGGGGACGGGCCCGAAAGGCAGCGGCCGCACCGUGUCCGGUCCUCGAGCGUAUGGGGCUUUGUCACCCGCUCUUGUAGGCCCGGCCGGCGCUUGCCGACACAUCAAUCUUUUUUCCAGGUUGACCUCGGAUCAGGUAGGGAUACCCGCUGAACUUAAGCAUAUCAAUAAGCGGAGGA